AUGACUUUGUUACAGAGAAGAUAUGCAUUUGGACAAAGGGCCUUUGGCAAAGUUCCUGUGCUGCUUGCUAAUAAGUAUGUCAAAAAAGAUACAGAUGCAACAAUUCUCAGCUGUUUGUUGUUCCUCCAUCUAGUCCUCUGUGCUGGACACCGAGCACACACCAGUGAAUGUGAAACAUUGUUCUGCAACUUGCUUUUCUGCCCUUUCCGUAUCUUGGAGUUUCUGGUGUCAGAAGUGGGAUCAAAAAGAUGACCCCUUCAGUGACUCUGAGGCUGAUGAACAACAAUGUGUGGGUACCCGUGGAGUUCAAUGCGCUCACUAUUUUAUUGCGAAUUGCAGAGUGAGAAGGUAAGUUUCUGGGAUGUCUGUUUUUAUAUGAAAAACAUUUAUGGAAUGGUGGGUGUAUUUUAGUUAAAGAAAAAAGGGAGGAAUUCUGUCCUAAAAUAAAAUGACUGGUUGUUCCA
This 464-nucleotide long non-coding RNA is filed under the name Felis catus (domestic cat). RNAcentral describes it as "lncRNA (ENSFCAG00000049717.1)". Lineage: Eukaryota; Metazoa; Chordata; Mammalia; Carnivora; Felidae. The record is from RNAcentral.